Molecule: long non-coding RNA, 355 nt
Filed under: Bos taurus (domestic cattle)
Lineage: Eukaryota; Metazoa; Chordata; Mammalia; Artiodactyla; Bovidae
Description: long non-coding RNA NONBTAT026419
Source: RNAcentral
GAAGUGGUUGUAGCGUUGCAAAUGUUUCCCUGAAGACUAAAGUUCAUGACUCAGUAGUGAAGUCUUUGAGUACAGAAUUUAUGCAGAAAGAGAGAUAGAGAAGGACAUUUAUUGGAGAGUAAAUGACAUAUGCAAAGAUAUAAGAAUGAGAAAAAUUAACACAUAUUCUUGAAAAAGUAGUUAAGUAGAGGAAGGGAAGUGUUCAGUGAAGAAAUAGAUUUUAUAUGGGACUGGAAUGGCAGCCAAUGCCAGAUUACACCAGGCCUCACAUGCUAAGCUAAGGAACUCAUUGAAUAAUAAUUAGUAGUACUGACAUUGUCUAAUUUGUAUAUUUUUAAAAAAUCACUAGAAUAGC